GGUUCAAGUCCCAGGACUGUAAAAAAAAAAAAAAAAGACAGCAUUUGUUCAUAAUAUGUAGGGGUUCAUUUUUGAGCCCUCUUCUACUGCAUUUGUUCAAGCAUCCUCUAUAGACCGAGCGUGGAUGUUUUGAUUAUUGUGGAUUUGUGUCUGAAGACACAGUUCACCCUGGUGAGGAAGUCUUCAUGGCAGGAGCCAGAAGCAGCUGGUUACAUCGUGUCUACAGUCAGGAAGCAGACCAUUAUGAAGGCUGCUAUACAGUUUAUUUCUCUUUGUAAUGUAGCUCAGGACCCCAGCUUAUGGAAUGGUGCCACCUACAUUCAAGAGGGAUACAUCUCUUGGUGACAGAGGCUGUUGUCCUGGGGAAACAUAAGGAGCCAGAUGAGAACCAGAAUUCAUCUCUCUCUCAACUUACUGAGUGCAGAAGCAAUGAGAGCAGCUGCCUCCCACUCCAGAUGCUGCGCCUUUCCCCACCACAAUGGACUGUAUGGCCUUGAAC
Mastomys coucha (southern multimammate mouse) is the source of this 499-nucleotide long non-coding RNA. RefSeq lists it as uncharacterized. The record is from RefSeq and is a predicted model, not a curated record. The transcript has 3 exons. Lineage: Eukaryota; Metazoa; Chordata; Mammalia; Rodentia; Muridae.